GCCGGGCGCCGUGGCGUGUGUCUGUAAUGCCAGCUACAGGGGCAGGUUGAGGCUGGCGGAUCGCUUGAGCACGGGAGCUCUGUGCUGCAACUGGCUGUGCCGAUCGGGAGUCCGCACUUAGCACGGCAUCGACAUGGCAUUUCUGGGGGAGCUCGUGAAUGCCAGGUCGUCUAAGGAGGGGUGAACCGGCCCAGGUCGGGAACGGAGCAGGUCAAAACCCCCGUGUCGCACCAGUAGUGGGACUGCUCCUGUGAGCGGAUGUUGCAGUGCAUCCUUUGCAAAACAACGAAACCCAGCCUCCU
The sequence is an unclassified non-coding RNA, 302 nucleotides long. It matches the Rfam family "Metazoan signal recognition particle RNA". Rfam says of the family: The signal recognition particle (SRP) is a universally conserved ribonucleoprotein. The record is from Ensembl.